CUGGCGGGACUCGGCAUGCUCCAAAUGCUCUAGCAAUAUAAAGGAAGGAAGCUUAACUCAUUCUGGGUUAUAGGCCACAGGGGAAGGACUUGUCUGGGAAGCUCUUGUGGAGGGUCAGCCACAGCCCUGGACUACUCCAGGAAUCAGCCUUCCUGGGCCCGCUUGAACCCCUGCGACUGAAGGAGCUACAGGAAGUGACUGGCAUAACUGACCAUGGAGAAUCCAAAGCCUCAUGGGAGAUCCAAUGCAGAUACUGGUAGGAAAUGACCAAGGGAGGGUGAUGGAGCGGUACCUCCCACCUGGGAAACCUCGGUGUGUUUUGGUAGGACCCCCUGCUGAGUCAGUUGAAAAUUGCUCUGCCACUGUUAGGGCCCUGGGUUGGGGCCUGGUGGAGUUGGAUGGGCCUGGGCCCCCCCCACUGGGCUGCCACACCCCUUGGUGGGUGCCCCACCCCCUAUUGAACUUUGGCUGCUAGGCCAUGCUGCCCUGCAUCUUAAGGGCUGUUCUAUUGACUCUGGGCGCUAGACCAUGCUGCCCUAUAUCUCAAGGGUGGCUCCACUGAACUCUGGCAGCUAGGCCACGUGGCCCUGCACCCAAGGGCUGUUCUAUUGACUCUGGUCGCUGGGCUGUGCUGCCCUGACCCUAGGGGUGUAGAUCAUCAGGGUCAGAAAGAUGGAGAAGAGUCAGCUAAACUGAACCUCCAUUCCCAUUUUUAAAAUGUGAAUAAAUAUGGCCUUGAAAAACUGGAUCUAUCCCUUACUUGUUACAAGGCUUCCGGUCCUGACAGUCCAAUUUCUGACUACAAAUUUUCACUACUUUUGGACUGACUUUUUUUACUACUGAAUUUGAUGUGUACUAUUUACAAUUAAGUGCCAUUCAUAAACAUUCAGACCUAAUGUAACUCACACCAGUGAUAAUUUGGUCUGCUGAACAUACUGUAAGAAUACUGGACUAAAUUCUGCUCUUGGUGUACAUUUAUUGUAGCUUGAAAGUAACUCCCCUUAAAGUUACUCUGAAUUGUCAUUGCAUACAUGACAACAGAAUGUGGCUUACCAACUAAUGCCAUUCAAAAAGUUUUAACAAUAUUUGCCCACUUUUUAUGUGAUCAGAGCAAUUUUUCAGGUUGUGAUCAGUGAGCCAGAGUGUGGAAGUGUAUGGAAACUACCAGCCUUCACUUCAUUAGUAUGAGCAGUCAUAAUCUAAAUUUUUACUAGUAUUCAGUCCUUUGAUCCAAGCACCAAUUUUUCCAUUUAUACUAUUUUCAGAACUCAACUUUUUUUUCUUUUUUCCAGUGAAAUGGCAGUUUUUCCCUCUGUUGAAGCUGCUUUUCAAUGUUAACAACAACAAAACAUCUAAGGCAAAACUACCAAGUGUUUCUUGCCAGAGUGUAACCCGCUGUGCUCUGCAAGCACCAUCAGAGCUCCUUCAAAAGACAAAUCAGCCUGCCAGCUCUGGAAAGGAUGGGCAUGGACCCUGACUUCUGAGGACACUGGUGCCUAGCCUACUAGUGUGUUUGUGCUGGAAUUAAGCAGAAACAUGUAGCUAAAAUAAGAGAAGCAAUAAUCCCAAUCUGGUCAGAAGCAGUACAGGUGAGUCGCAUCAUAUGCGCAUUUAAUUUACGCGAAUUCAACUAUACGCGCUUGGCAAAAAAAAGAAAACAAGAUACCUGUAAAUAGUGCGGGCGAUUCCACCCUCCAUUCCACUCAAUGAGUGUAUGCCCCGGAGUGAGCAUGAGAUGGGAAACGUGAAUCUGCUGUUCCCUCAGUCAGUCUUAGUUCCCGCAUGCCUCGCAUAGUGUGAGCAUCUUGCCGCGCUGAGUGUGAUUCUAGUGUUUAAAGAUACGUAUUUUUCAUACAACAUGCCCCCUAAACGCAAGCCAACUACUUCAUCUGGUGCUCAACUGAAGAAACAGAGAUCUGUUCCAACGCUGGAGGAAAACCUGGCUGUGUUGGACUUAUUGAGAGAUGGUAUGUCGGUCUCCAAUAUGGCGCAACGAAUCUAGCAUCCGUGCCAUCAAGAUUCGAGAGAGAGAAAUUCGUCAAGUGCUCCAAUAACUGCUAAGGUGACGAGCCAGG
Chrysemys picta bellii (western painted turtle) is the source of this 2075-nucleotide non-coding RNA. NCBI's taxonomy places the organism in Eukaryota, Metazoa, Chordata, Testudines, Emydidae. The record is from RefSeq and is a predicted model, not a curated record.